AGUGAACGCUGGCGGCAGGCCUAACACAUGCAAGUCGAACGGCAGCACAGAGGAGCUUGCUCCUUGGGUGGCGAGUGGCGGACGGGUGAGGAAAACGUCGGAAUCUGCCUAUUUGUGGGGGAUAACGUAGGGAAACUUACGCUAAUACCGCAUACGACCUACGGGUGAAAGCGGAGGACCUUCGGGCUUCGCGCAGAUAGAUGAGCCGACGUCGGAUUAGCUAGUUGGCGGGGUAAAGGCCCACCAAGGCGACGAUCCGUAGCUGGUCUGAGAGGAUGAUCAGCCACACUGGAACUGAGACACGGUCCAGACUCCUACGGGAGGCAGCAGUGGGGAAUAUUGGACAAUGGGCGUAAGCCUGAUCCAGCCAUGCCGCGUGUGUGAAGAAGGCCUUCGGGUUGUAAAGCACUUUUGUCCGGAAAGAAAAGCACUGGGUUAAUACCCUGGUGUCAUGACGGUACCGGAAGAAUAAGCACCGGCUAACUUCGUGCCAGCAGCCGCGGUAAUACGAAGGGUGCAAGCGUUACUCGGAAUUACUGGGCGUAAAGCGUGCGUAGGCGGUUUGUUAAGUCUGAUGUGAAAGCCCCGGGCUCAACCUGGGAAUGGCAUUGGAUACUGGCAAUCUAGAAUGUGGUAGAGGGUGGCGGAAUUCCCGGUGUAGCAGUGAAAUGCGUAGAUAUCGGGAGGAACAUCCGUGGCGAAGGCGGCCACCUGGACCAACAUUGACGCUGAGGCACGAAAGCGUGGGGAGCAAACAGGAUUAGAUACCCUGGUAGUCCACGCCCUAAACGAUGCGAACUGGAUGUUGGGUUCAAUUGAGAACUCAGUAUCGAAGCUAACGCGUUAAGUUCGCGCCUGGAAGUACGGUCGCAAGACUGAAA
This 881-nucleotide ribosomal RNA is filed under the name uncultured bacterium. RNAcentral's name for it is "bacterial SSU rRNA". It matches the Rfam family "Bacterial small subunit ribosomal RNA", at positions 28 to 899 of the family's 1533-position model. The record is from RNAcentral.